This 76-nucleotide transfer RNA is filed under the name Cyanidioschyzon merolae. RNAcentral describes it as "trnF". It matches the Rfam family "tRNA". Rfam says of the family: Transfer RNA (tRNA) molecules are approximately 80 nucleotides in length. Their secondary structure includes four short double-helical elements and three loops (D, anti-codon, and T loops). The record is from RNAcentral. Lineage: Eukaryota; Rhodophyta; Bangiophyceae; Cyanidiales; Cyanidiaceae.
GUUUGGAUAGCUCAGCUAGGGUUAGAGCAGAGGACUGAAAAUCCUCGUGUCAGAGGUUCAAAUCCUCUUCCAAACA